RNAcentral lists this transfer RNA (74 nucleotides) under Candidatus Kuenenbacteria bacterium CG11_big_fil_rev_8_21_14_0_20_37_9. RNAcentral's name for it is "tRNA-Gln". It matches the Rfam family "tRNA". From Rfam's summary of the family: Transfer RNA (tRNA) molecules are approximately 80 nucleotides in length. Lineage: Bacteria; Candidatus Kueneniibacteriota. The record is from RNAcentral.
UCGGGGAUCGUCUAAUGGUAGGACAGCUGGUUUUGGUCCAGCCAAUCGGGGUUCGAAUCCCUGUCCCCGAGCCA